Molecule: non-coding RNA, 21 nt
Organism: Caenorhabditis elegans
Lineage: Eukaryota; Metazoa; Nematoda; Chromadorea; Rhabditida; Rhabditidae
Source: Ensembl
UUUUAGGCUGAAUUGUAAUAU